RNAcentral lists this long non-coding RNA (345 nucleotides) under Brassica napus (rape). RNAcentral describes it as "long non-coding RNA (BNAP_LNC012298)". The record is from RNAcentral. Lineage: Eukaryota; Viridiplantae; Streptophyta; Magnoliopsida; Brassicales; Brassicaceae.
CGAAAAACAGAAUUCAUGUACUAAGUGAAGAUGUCACAUUAUUUUCGACGUAACUCUAACAUAUUUCACUCGAUUGUAUGGUAUUUUUAUUAAAUUUAUAUCUAUUAGAUAUUCAUUAAUAUGAAAAUAUCUAAAAUAACAAAAUAUGUUCAAAAUACUAAAAUAUGUUAUUAUCUCCAUCUAAAUAUUUAAAUGAAACUAUUUUUAUGUAAAUUUAAGUAUUUAGUCUUACAUUAUUCAAAAUUUUAUCUUUUAUAUUAUUUUUAUUUUUGGAUUUUGAGGAUUAAGUAUAUUUGGAUUUUUGUUAAAAUAUUACAUAAUUAAAAUAUGUAUCUGAACUCAAAC